Molecule: ribosomal RNA, 481 nt
Filed under: uncultured bacterium
Lineage: Bacteria
Description: partial 16S ribosomal RNA
Rfam family: Bacterial small subunit ribosomal RNA
Source: RNAcentral
GACGAACGCUGGCGGCGCGCUUAACACAUGCAAGUCGAGCGAUGAAAUCUUAACAGCACCCUUCGGGGUGAAGAUAAGACGGAUUAACGGCGGACGGGUGAGUAACACGUGAGUAACCUGCCUUUUACACAGGGAUAGACUCAGGAAACCGGGAUUAAAACAUGAUGAAACUAUCAAAUCACAUGCUCAAGCAGAUUAAAACUCCGGUGGUAAAAGAUGGACUCGAGUGCCAUCCGAUAGUUGGGGAAGGUAACGGCCCAUCAAGGCAACGAUGGCAAGCUGGACUGAGAGGAUGAUCGGCAACAUUGGAACUGGGAAACGUGCCAAAUUCCGACGGAAGGCAGCAGUGGUGAAUAUGGCACAACGGGUGAAUCCCUAAGGCAGUGACACUGCAAAAGAGAAGAAGUCCUGCGGAUGGUAAAGCUCUUUAAAAUUGGAUGAUAAGGACGGUACCAUAAGAAAAAGCCCCGGCUAACUACUU